Molecule: ribosomal RNA, 492 nt
Filed under: uncultured bacterium
Lineage: Bacteria
Description: partial 16S ribosomal RNA
Rfam family: Bacterial small subunit ribosomal RNA
Source: RNAcentral
AGUGAACGCUGGCGGUAUGCCUAACACAUGCAAGUCGAACGGCAGCACAGUAAGAUUUUGUCUUUACUGUUGGCGGCGGGCGGGCGGGUAAGGAGUACAUCGGCACCUUCUUUUUCGGGGGGGAUAACGUAGGAAAACUUACGCUAAUACCGCAUACUCUCUACGGGUGAAAUCAGGGGAUCUUCGGACCUUGGGCGACUGAAUUAGCCGAUGUCGCAUUAGCUAGUUGGGUGGGUAAGGGCCCACCAAGGCGACGAUCCGUAGCUGAUCUGAGAGGAUGAUCAGCCACACUGGAACUGAGACACGGUCCAGACUCCUACGGGAGGCAGCAGUGGGGAAUAUUGGGCAAUGGGCGCAAGCCUGAUCCAGCCAUGCCGCGUGGGUGAAGAAGGCCUUCGGGUUGUAAAGCCCUUUUGUUGGGAAAGAAAAGCAGCAGGUUAAUACCCCGCUGUUCUGACGGUACCCAAAGAAUAAGCACCGGCUAACUUCGUG